CCCUUAGAUGUUCUGGGCCGCACACGCGCUACACUGGCCGGUUCAUCGAGCUUCAUGCCCUGAUCUGAGAAGAACGGGAAAUCUUUGAACACCUGCCGUGCUUGGGAUAGAUGUUUGCAAUUAUUCAUCUUCAACGAGGAUUGCCUUGUAAGCGCACGUCAUCAGCGUGCAUUGAAUACGACCCUGUAUUCUGUACACACCGCCCGUCGCUCCUACCGAUUGAAGUUUUCGGUGAAUUUACUGGAGAUCCCUUUUGAAGGUGGUUCGCCACUGGAAGAAGUAUUCAAAAGUAAAUGAAUCGAAUGCUUUAGAGGAAGGAGAAGUCGUAACA
RNAcentral lists this ribosomal RNA (331 nucleotides) under uncultured eukaryote. RNAcentral's name for it is "partial 18S ribosomal RNA". It matches the Rfam family "Eukaryotic small subunit ribosomal RNA", at positions 1470 to 1796 of the family's 1831-position model. The record is from RNAcentral.